Molecule: long non-coding RNA, 317 nt
Organism: Ipomoea nil (Japanese morning glory)
Lineage: Eukaryota; Viridiplantae; Streptophyta; Magnoliopsida; Solanales; Convolvulaceae
Exons: 3
Source: RefSeq, a predicted model, not a curated record
GUCAGAGAAGAGUGUGUUAAAAAGUGGUAAAGAGAAACCUAUUAUGCCAAGUAGAAAAUGUAGGGAUGACGGGAUGAUAAUUUCACCUGAACCUGACAAGGAGCCUAAUUCCCCUCCCCGAUGAGGUUAGGGAUAGGAGUUCCCCAUCCUCAAAAUUUCCUUGCAGAAACGAAGAUGAGAUGGGAACAUAUUCUUUCCCCCGGAAGGGAGCAGGGAAUAUGUCCCCACCCCGCCUUGCCUUGUUGCCAUUCCUAAUAAGAGGACAACUAAAGAACAAGAAACCAUACAACACACUAAAAGUGUCUUUGGAAAGCAGG